This 492-nucleotide ribosomal RNA is filed under the name uncultured bacterium. Its description in RNAcentral is "partial 16S ribosomal RNA". It matches the Rfam family "Bacterial small subunit ribosomal RNA", at positions 29 to 507 of the family's 1533-position model. The record is from RNAcentral.
AGUGAACGCUGGCGGUAGGCCUAACACAUGCAAGUCGAACGGCAGCACAGUAAGAGCUUGCUCUUACGGGUGGCGAGUGGCGGACGGGUGAGGAAUACAUCGGAAUCUACUUUUUCGUGGGGGAUAACGUAGGGAAACUUACGCUAAUACCGCAUACGACCUACGGGUGAAAGCAGGGGAUCUUCGGACCUUGCGCGAUUGAAUGAGCCGAUGUCGGAUUAGCUAGUUGGCGGGUUAAAGGCCCACCAAGGCGACGAUCCGCAGCUGGUCUGAGAGGAUGAUAAGCCACACGGGAACUGGAACACGGACAAGAGUCCUAAGGGAGGCCGCAGUGGGGAAUAGGGGGCAAAAGGCGCAAGCAUGACACAGCCAGACCGCGUGUGUGAAGAAGACCUUCGGGUUGGAAAGCCGUUUUGUUGGGAAAGAAAAGCAGCAGGUUAAUACCCCGCUGUACUGACGGUAACGAAAGAAUAAGCACCGGCUAACUUCGUG